This 235-nucleotide ribosomal RNA is filed under the name uncultured bacterium. Its description in RNAcentral is "partial 16S ribosomal RNA". It matches the Rfam family "Bacterial small subunit ribosomal RNA", at positions 118 to 347 of the family's 1533-position model. The record is from RNAcentral.
CGAGUAACCUGCCCUUAACUCUGGGAUAAGCCUGGGAAACUGGGUCUAAUACCGGAUAUGACUCCUCAUCGCAUGGUGGGGGGUGGAAAGCUUUAUUGUGGUUUUGGAUGGACUCGCGGCCUAUCAGCUUGUUGGUGAGGUAAUAGCUCACCAAGGCGAUGACGGGUAGCCGGCCUGAGAGGGUGACCGGCCACACUGGGACUGAGACACGGCCCAGACCUCCGUACGGGAGCAG